Molecule: long non-coding RNA, 7193 nt
Organism: Acinonyx jubatus (cheetah)
Lineage: Eukaryota; Metazoa; Chordata; Mammalia; Carnivora; Felidae
Exons: 2
Source: RefSeq, a predicted model, not a curated record
GUGGGUGAAUCUGAAAGAGAAGCCAGGGCAGGGGCCCAACAAUCCUUGAGAUCCUAGUCAGGAAUUGUAUGGAAACCUAGCCCCACCCACUCGCUCUCUCCCUACCCCAGGGCCAAGUUUGUAGUCUCAGAAAACCCUGGAGAUUUGAUCUUAGUGUGUGCUGAAACUUCUCUUUGGGGAGCCCCUGAGAACCAGCACUUGGGGAAGGCUGGGGUGGAUCCCUAAUUAGGAUGGAAAUCAGGCUGUUUCUGAGCAACUGUCUCCUAACUCUAAGAAGGAAAUGUGGCUGGCUAGAGAGGCCUCAGUGUGCUGGACUGGCAGAGGGAUGUGAGUGAGUUCCCUGCUCACCCCACUUUACCCAUCCCCCUCUAGCUGCAUCUGGGGCCCCUACCAGCCCAUGGAGAGGAUAGCCUGGAUCCUGAUGGCUGCUGCCUGACUCCUCCUCCAACUGGAGGAUUCAAGGGGGUGUCUAGAAGCUGACCUGGGCUUGGCUGAGUGCAAGGAAGCCAUCUGAGAAAGUGAAAGCUGUUUUCCUCCCCUAUUCUGCUCCCUCCCUUAGAAGUGAGUGUAUUAGACUGUUGGACAGCCACAGGCUUGGGGUGAACCCUAGCCAUCAAUAGAGGACCUUGCCAGGAAGUGGGCUGCUGAGGCAUACUGAAUGUGGGAGGAUGGGCAGAGGCCAAGCCCAAGGGCCAGCAGACUGGUGGCUUGGCUGCCCUGGCCCUAGGGUGGUGGGUCCUGCUCCAGUGCCUCCCAUAGGAAGCCAAGAUGUGGCUAUUCGACUUGGGGGGGUUGGGGCAGGGCCUUCAGUGUUUACAGGCUUAGAAAACAGAGAUUAAUAAACUAAUUUCACAUGGCCAAGGAAGGAAUGAAUUAAUCAAAUCAGCAUUUUCCCAAAGUAUGCUUCAAAACAUUAGAAACACGAAGUGGUGAUGACCUGAUGGGAAAAAGGGGAUAGAGGACCCAGGUUUAGGAGAAUCAUGUAGCUCAUGACAGACAUGCAAAUUAACGAGAGAUCACUGUGGCUUCUUGGGGAUUUCACAGGGCAAACAGGCAGCACACAGCAAUUCCGUGGGGGCUAAAGGGACAGAAAUCCCCGUAUUUAUUUGACCCUUGUCACAGAGGAUCUCAUGUUCCAUAGGACACCAUUUUGGAAAAUGCUUGUCCUGUGUCUUUCUCCAAGCCCCUUUCCAGCACUAAACCUGUUUGGGAAAUCAUGACACAGACCCAAAGACUAGGGGAGGUAUGAGACUUUGAGGAAAAAGCUGCCAGAAGGAGUGAGAGGGAAGCCCUUGAGGCAGGAAAUAGGACUCAAGAUGAGAGGCUGAGAGGGAAAAGCCCAGACUCUAGGGGUGGGAAGGUAGGAACACAGCUUCUGUGGCCUGGGGGGAGAAGGGACUGUGGAGGUCAAGUUCUCACAUCCUUCCCAACCCCACGCUCAGCACCAAAUGGGUGCCCAUGAUGCUUCUCAGGUGGCUUGGGGCAGGACAUACCAGUUCAAUUCUGUCAGGCCCAGGGGACAAAAGGAGGGGCCCUGCUCCAGCGCUGCGAGAGGGGUCUGGUGACUGACUUGUUAAGCCUCUCUAUAGUAUGGAUUGAGGGGCCCAGGCAAACAAGGGGUUCGUCUCCCUGGCAAGGUGAGGUGAUGUCCCUCCCAUCUUCAAACCUUCCCUGCCUUUUCCCAUCUCCCUCCAGCACCAGUGGGCUCUGUUCUUCGUGCAGGGGCAUGGCAUCGCUGGGGGAGUGAGAGCUGUGGUCAGUGGCGGCCUCGGAGGCAGCUCAACCAGACCUCCCGUCCUCCUCAGAAGCUGCAGCCCCCACAGCACAGCCUAGCACCCCAGGCAAGAGCACAGGGGCCUUAAUAUAUGUUGGUCUGUGUGGUAGACUACCUCAUAUCCUCAUCAAAGCACAGAGGCAGUCAUGACAAUAAAAGUAACAGUAGUAAUUACAAGAAGUGUGCUCUGAAGACAAAACCACAAGGCUGAUCUCAACAUACCAAUAUAAAAAUAGAAUUCACACAUAGAAGCAUUUCCAGGAGUCAAUAACACACAGUACCAUGGGGGUGGGAGGUGUGGGGAGUUGGCAGAAACUGUCCAUAAUUUUCUAAGUGCAGAUGUUCGUUGUUCAGGAUUUUGAGCUCCUCCUCCAUUAUCUAGAGUAACUUCCCCAGAGAACCCUGCCUGGAGCCAGCCAUGCCUGGGUCCAACCUAGAGGCCACUGAGAGCCUGGCUGGUCAUUUCUUCCUGACUUUGCUGGGAUAGAGGGGCUGCAGCUCUAUACACCCAUUCCCAGGGCUCUGUGCUCUUUCCUCUCCCUCUUCCAUGGCCUCUACCUCCCCCUCCAUGCCCUUCUCCAGCCCCCUACCCCCACAGUCCUCUCCUUUGCUUUUACCUGCUGACUUCCCAGCCACAGCAACCCCAAACCUGAGGCUUCCCAAGGUUAAUCUCCAUGCCUCUGGUUAACUUACUGUGAAGUCAAAGAGGAAAGGGGGCCUAUUUUGGAUCCCAGUUCUCUGGGCGUGGUGGGGUGACUCAGGUAAAAUCCAAGGUAGAUGUACAGUCUGGGUUUGAGUUCAGUGGAGCAGGAAACCCUGUCCUGCUUUUUUAUCUGUUUUUCCCCCUCCUUUCUUCAUCUUAGUUUUUCUCAUGGAGGGAAUCUCAAACCUGAUGCUCUUGUCCCCUCCUGUCAGUUUUGUGCGUCAUUAACUUGCUCAUAUGCAGUCUGGGAAUGACUUUUCAUUUAGUCCUCCUUCUCCUCCCCCUCUGUGCUCCCCAGCCCAAGAAACACAUCCCUGCUGUUGGCAAAAACACCUCCCUACACACCCAGACAAAAUGCAUCCUGGCCACCUGAGCCUCACCUCCAAGAACAAGCAGGAUUUAGCAGCUUUUUUUCCUUCUAUUUUCUUCCCUUAAGAGAGAAAAUCUUCAUAAAUGAAACCAUUUAUAACCAACCAUUAUUUAACAGAAACCAACGAUCCCAGAGGGGAAACAUCUGGUUUCCCCUGUGGCUCCUGAGCUAAUUGAUGCUAUCCUGGGUUCUUGAGAAUGCCUGCCUGGGGUCCCAUAGCCCAUCCUGGGGGGUCUCACCCUCUCCCCACCUCAGAAGUGUCUCAACCCUCUGUGGCCCUGGCAAAGCCCUGGGCCUGUGCCUGCCCACCAGCUGUAGCUUACUCGGGGAGCUGCCACAUUCCCUCCCUCCCCAGCUGUGAGCAUUCUUGUACCACCUAGUGAGAGACAGCCCCCCCCUCCUGCCCCAUACUUCCCCCGCUUCCCUCUCCCCAUCUCUAGUCCACAGAACCUAGAAUCCUCCUAGAACCUACCCUUUCCCUUCAUCAGCUUGCAGCCCCUGAUGGUGGGGAGGGGGACUCCCAUCAGAGGUCUGGGCAUCCCAGGAAAUCUGGCCUGGCAGCUUGGGGUCUGGGGAAGAGAAGUCAGGCUGUAGAGACACUGCUUGGUUUAUGAAGUAGUGCCUGAGACUCAGACCAGGGGCCCAGGGAGCUCUGGCUGUCAAUGCUUCUAUGACUCUGUCAUGGAGAAGAAGUGGUGGGCAGUGGCAGGGAGCCACCCCAAGUGGGGGGAGGGGCUUGCUGUUCCACCUUCUCUGCCCCUCCCCUUCCCUGCCCCAACUCAUAGUAGGUCCUCUUAAUGGGUGCUAGCAUAGAGGCAACUUCCAUCCUCUUCUGGCUGCCUAAGGGCCCCUUGCCCAGACACCUCCUCAGACGCACCCAAACGCCCACUCCAAGGGUCAUUCAGGAUGGCCAUUGUUCUGCUGGCUGGGAAAGAACCACCCAGGCCUCUCACCUCCGGGCACAGCCGGAAAUGUGCUCUGGGGACCAUGUCUGAAAACAAACAGCAGGCCCACUGGGGUUGGCAGCAGACAGAGGGUGCUGGCUCCAGCCUAGGACUGAGAGCACAGAGGGGCAGAAACAGGCCUUGGACACAGGGCCCUCCAUCAAGUCCCAGCUUUUCCUGUGGGCAGCCUGGUAGAAGUAUGGGGGGCAGAGACUCCCGCCUCUAAGAGGCAGUCAGGCAUGCUGCCCCCCUCCCCUUAGCCCUAGCUGGGUGGGUGGGAGACUCUGGGGGUUGCUGGGCCACCUGGUCCAUCCCGACCACCCUCUCCUCCACCCUCUUCUAUGUGGCCUCCACCUCCCGGGGCGUUCGAUUGCGCUCAGUCUGCCCCCGGCUCUUCACCUUCUUGCCCAGCUCCAGCCCUGCCCAGCUCUUGCCCUUGGCCUGUUUGCCCCGGCUCCUGGAAGGGCACCACACGCGCUCACAGUACUCGUCCACCCGGGGCAGGUUGGCGAAGCCGAUGAGCUGCAGGAUGUCCUUAUACCAGGCCUUGGAGGGGGUGGAGGCCAGGCCUCCCCAGCCUGGGGUCUCCUCUGGCCUUGGAUCCCGAGGAAACAGGCCGUUGAGCUGUGUGGCCACAAUCACCUCCAGAGCCAGGCGGACCACAGUCUGGGAGAAGCCGUGCUCCAGUGUCUUGCAGGUGUAGAUGCCCGCAUCCAGGUGGCUGAGUCUGCGGAACAGCAGCCCCUGCUCUGUUUGCAGGACUCUCUCAUCUGUCUUUACCUGUGGGGGGUGGGGGAGGGGAUGAGGGGGACAUGGAGUAGGACGCACACAACAUCAGUUACUCUCCCUGCUUUUCCAACUUCGCAUUUCAGGACCUGGUGCUUAAGCAUUUCCCCUCCCCAUCUCUCCUUCCCAGGCUGGCUCAGCACUGUGAGCCAAUUGCAGGCAGGGUCUCACCUUCCUAUAACCCAGGACAAGGACUGCAAAGGAGGCUUUUCAAAGAUUUCACUGACUGGUUUCUCCCCUAGUCAGAGCUCUGUGGCACCUACCUUGGCCUUAGGGAGCCCUGCCACAUGGUCCCUGGGGAUAGAGUGGGCAGAGGGGUAUUUAUGGGUUUUUAUUCAGGGAGGGCUAUACCCAUAGCCCUAGGACUAGAAGUCCCCUCCACUUUCCUUUCUCUCUCUCUCUGUCUCUCUCUCUCUCUCUCUCUCUCUUCCCUGUCCUUGUCUGCACUGUUCAGUCCCCCAACCAGGGGUGGGCUGAGUGCCCAUCACAGUGCGGGAGGCAGGAGUGCUGCUCUGAUCCCACCUGGAUGUCUGCACAUCUGUACGUUGAGGCGGGACUGCUUGGGCGGUAAGUAUUGUGUAACCAUCUUGUUGUUCCCUGUGCCUGGCCCCCUGGGGGUGUGCUCCUCGUGCCUAGCCCAACAGCUGGCCCAAAGCUGGCCUCCCCCAGUUCCCAAGCUGGAAGGAGAGCCCCUCCUGUAAUCAAGGCACUCCCUCCCCUUCUCUGCCCCUGAGAGAGGCUGGAGAAUGGUUCCUCACCCUGCCCCACCCACGCCCUCAUCAGGCCCCAGACUAAAGCCAUUUCUGGGGUUGACAGACUUUUCCGGAUGGGGGAGGAGAGGGCCUGGGCAGACAGCUGGACUCCAGGGAGGAAGUGUGGGGCUAGGCAGUGGGUAUGUGUGUAGGGGUGUGUGUGUGUGUGUGUGCAAGUUUCAGUGGUUUAGGCACCACCCUGGGGCAGAGGAGAACCAAGAACCCAUGGGAAAGAGAGGCCUGCAAAGAUGAGCCAUAUGUGUGAGCCUGGGCUUCUUGACUAGACCAGACUCUCUUCCAUCUCUACUACCCACCUCCCAGAGCUCAGUUCAGUGCCUGGGAUUUAGUGGGCUCUCUGUCACAGGAAGGGUUGCAGCCACGUCUGGCCUGGGCAUUCCUGGAGGCAGGAAGAGGGGUACCUCCUUCCAGGCACUGCAGGCACUUAAUGCACACUUUUCUUCAGUUGACCUUGGCAGGUUCCCCCUAGAGCCCCUUCCUAGAGAUCAGGACUUGGGGUCAGGGAGGGAUGUGAGAUCAGGACAUGUGCAGGUUGGAGGCAAGGUCUUUGCUCACCUGGUCGGGUCCCUGACCCCCUGGCCUCUGCAAGAACCAGUGCACAGCAGCCUGGGAAGACUUGGGCAGGCACUCCAGAAAGGUGCUGUUGUGCUCCGUGCCGUAGACUGUGGUGGCCGCCACGGGGCCUGUAGCCUCGUCUGGAGGGAGGUGGAGGGGGGCUCGGCUCAGUAUUGUGGGCCCCCAGGGCCCCCACCAGUGUGACAAGGACCUAAGUGUCCAUCAAUCCCCAAGCCAUUCAUUCUGUCCAAAGACCCCUCCUUCCCCAGUAUACUGACAGGAGCUGCACAUGUAGGAAAACUGAGGGCUGGGUGUUAAAACAGGACCAGCCUGAGACCACACUUUGCAGGGGUUGAGCCCGGGCCAGAGGGGUGAGGAGGGGCCCCCAUGCCUGCCACCACUCACCUUCCUGGCUCUCCCCCAGGCACUGCAGGGCAGGGUUGCCAUGCCGGAUGUCCUGCCUGCGGAACCGGCGCUUGCUGGUGCCAGGCCGGUAGCGGGUACAGGAGGCACCGUCCCAGGCACAGUAUGGGUCCCGGGCCAGGCAGCACUCAGCACAGGCACUGCCGUAGGUUUCACAGUGGUGCAGCUGCAGCCGAGCCACGCCCAGCCUCGAGCCCACGUACAGCAUUUGCUGGGGGGGACACAAGCAGAGCCAAGGUGAGCCUGGGCCCCACCUAGAAGCAACUAGGCUCUUGGCCCUCUUGGGCUUCCUGAGACCCCCACCAUUUUCAGGCAGUCUUCCAGAACCUCUUGGAUGUAUCCCCAGAAACCAAAAAUGUUGAUCACCCACCUGAUAUGCACCAGAUCCUGUUCUAGGACACGGAAGGAAGGCACGGGGCAGACCUGGGGGGCUCUUCUCUAAGGGGUUUCUCCAGGCCCUUCCUGCUGCUGACUUUUGCCCUCAACCUCAAUAACCUUUAUCCUGACUUGCCUCUGACCUUAGAGGUGCACUCUGCCUCAAGCAAUCCUAAUACAAAAGUUGGGAUUUACCCAAGGAUAAACUGGGGCAGAAUAACUUGAGGAGAUUUUGCCACUUGCAAAAGGACAUAGCAGGCCUCUAAAAAGUGGCUCUCCCCUAUUUGAUUUAAAUUAUGGGGAUGCCUGGGUGGCUCAGUAGGUUGAGUGGCCAACUUCGGCUCAGGUCAUGAUCUCAAGGUCUGUGUAUUCGAGCCCCGCAUCAGGCUCUGUGCUGACAGCCUGGAGCUGCUUUGGAUUCGGUGUCUCCUUCUCUCUCUGCCUCUCCCUGACCCAUGCUCAGUCUCUCUCUCUCUCUCUCUCUCUCUCUCUC